AUUGGCAGCUCCCAGGAAAACUAGGGCCUUGGUCAUUCAAUACCCAUGGCCCGAGGAGCAGGUGAUGACUGUAAAAAUAACAGGCCGGCCCCAUAGCAAGAGCUUCAGGUAUGUGGUCUGCAGGACCCAGCGGGUUGGGGCUGGCCUCUGUUCCAGACCGGGGCUUGAGCUCAACAAGCUUCAGCAGCUUCUCUGGGAGCCCCUAGACUAGAUCUAGGCGGAGCAGGGUCAGGAGUCCUGACUCCAAAGCCCUCUAGCCACCUGAACUUGUGCUUCCAAGAGGGGGUACACUUCCCCCCCUCUAGAAUCACCGGUAAUGCGUAAUGUUGGCUGUUGAGGCUGCUGACCCUUCGGGCCGAAGGAGGGUGAGCACCCAUGGGAACGUCCCUGCUGACAAUUUCUGAGAAAUUUCCGCACUAGGCUUGAACCACCUAGGCACUUGCUGGGGGUCUCUAACCUCUCCCGCUUCUGCCUUCCUGGGGGUCCUUUUUCCCCUUUUUCUGGGAGACUUCAGAGAGUAGUUGCGAGGUCCUUUAAGCAGACAUUUCCUUUGGGGUACACAGGGGCAGUCAUGAAAGCAUGACCCUGUUCCCCAUCCUCUGGUUGGUUUACCACUUAACCAAACAGAGCCCCAGGCUCCACGUGGCCAUUGGGGGCUCCCUAAAGCUUCUCCAAGUUAGGCCAAUGUGGUCUCCACCUCAGAUCACUUCCUCCUUUUGGUCAGUGUUCCUCUCUGAAAUGGCUGACUCCUUCUGCCCAUUUUGAAAGCAGAAGACCCUCUCAGAUGCCGUGCGCUGAGCAUUCAGUUUCCAGAGGCGCUGUUGUCCUCGUGCUGUCACGGAGACCUGGGGCAGCAGGGUGGCCUCUAGAGCGGGGCCAACCAGUAUUUAUAAAAGCCUCCCUUUGCUGCCCAGGCUGGAGUGACCUCGGCCACUGUCCUUGUCUGAGCUGCAGCAUCCCUACCUGUGAAGUGGGAGAACCAUGUUGCCCUUGUCUGGGGGCUGCUGUGAAGAUGAACACGAUGUGUGUGUGUGUGUGUGUGUGUGUGUGUGUGGACAGGGUACCUCGCUGAGACUCUGAGAGACGGUAACAGUGAGCUCCCUCCCCCAGCCCUGCCCUCCUGGUUCCUAUCCCUCCAGCCUUGAUCUUGAGCAUUCUGGGAAGGAGAUGGUGCCAGUCUGCUGGCUCAGCCGGCUUGGCCACUGACCUUCAGAGCACCCAGGCUGUCAAGGCCGCCUGACUGCCUGCCUGCCGGCCGGUCGGGUGGCAGGGAGCGCCAGCCAGCUCCUUCUUCGCCUGACGCCACCCGCCCCAGCUCCCACUCUCCUCCUCUCCCCCUCUCUGCGCCUGUGUGUGAGCUAAUUAAUCUCAGCCCCUUUGGGAAAUUAGACCGCAGCCGCGUUCUCAGCCUCAUGGAGCCUGUGCUGCUACUGGGCCAAGACCUGCUGUGUUUGGGGUACCGAGGUGGGGGUUGGCGGCAGCUUAGGUGAACUUAUCAGGACACAGGUCUCUGAGAACCCUUCACUUUUGGGCUGAGGGACUCUGGCCUUAGUUCCUUCCCUAAGGACACCAGGCAAACUCCCUGUCCUAAUGAAACCAACCCCUGUGUCCUUUUCAACCUGGCUCCAUGUUGUCAUGGUCAUCCCUCAUCCAAUGUUCUUCCUCAACGUGGGGUCAUCCUCUUCCUUUACCAGCUAGGAGGCUGAUGGAGACAGAUGUAAUUAUGGAAUUUUGCUUGGGAAAUUAAUUUGAAAAAAGUUAAUUAAUUGGUGGUUCCGGAGGUGGCAGGCUCCACACCCGGCUGGCCUUGCUGACGUCAGUACUGACCCACUGGAGCCAUGCAGCUUGCUGGACAAGCUGGGAAAAGGGACCCCCAUGACCCCACUAGACAGCCCUGUGACAGGUGGAUGGACAGGAGCAAAGGGUGCUUGUGUCCUGGUCCACGGUGGGUACUAGGUCUACUGAGGAUGACUCCGUAUCCUAAGAACUGGCCCACUUGCCUGUGUGUUUGUGGCCCUUGUCGGCUUCUGUAGUACACGGAUCUCAGUGCCAUGAGUGUCCACUUCCUCCAAGAGGGACAUGACUGUAUCAUCAAACAACCCAGCAAGAUGUAGAGAAUAGCUUAGUCUUCCUCCCAAGGAAUGAAUGAAUGCCUCAGCAAGGGGGAUCCCCAAGCACCCACUGUCCUAAGUGAGGGUGAGCAGUUCAGCCUGUCACCCUGGUGCCAUUUUACUUGUCUCCUACCAUCCCAUCUACUAGCUGGAAUGAGACAGGAGGCCAGCAGCCUUAGGCAUGCCAUGAUCGUAGAAGUUUGCCUACACCUUCGGGUCUCCUGUGAGGCCAUUGCCCACAUGCUUCAGUUGGCCUAAGUUCUAGUUUCUGAGGAAGUGUGGGCACUCCUUGCCUUGAGAAUGAUCAGGGCUGGGGCAGAAAGUUUCUAGGCAUGAGAGAAGUUGAGGAUACUCCUUGCCUCACCCCAUUACUAGGGUAAGGGACAUGGGCUCCCUAGGCUGCUAAACCUAGGUACCCCAAGUCUUGGGCAAGUCCCUUGUUUCUUGCCCUGAGCCUCACUUCCUUCAUCUGGGAAGAGUAGGUAGUUACAUAUUCUGAAGGCUGUGGUAGGGUCUAGGCAGGUAUAAUCAGCCCGAAGUGUUUUCUCUGCCUCAUGGAGGCAGGCUAAGUGGGAGGUUGGGGAGUCCUCCAGGGCUCUGCUGCCCGGGCAGCAUUUUGGAGGAGAAUCUGGUAUACAUGGUGCAUGAGGAGAUGGUAUCUGUGAAGGAUCCAAGACCAAGCAACUAGCCUGCAGUCCUAAACCUUAGGGGCAGUUAGCCCAUUGUGUGCUGCUGCUUUUCUAGAAUUUCUCGGGGCCCACAGUGAAUUUAGUGUGGAGAGAUGGCUCAGUGGUUAGGAGCAUUCACUGAAUUUCAGAGGACCUGGGUUCGAUUCUCAGGGCCCCACAUCAGUUGGCUAACAACUACCGGUAACUCCAGUUCCAAAGCCUCUGGCCUCCAAGGGCACUGAUACGCACACACAUGGGCAUGAGUGCACAAGCGUGUGUACACAUGCACACACAAUCUUUAAAAACUUUAACAGCAGGGCAGUGCUAGCGCACACCUUUAAUCCCAGCACUUGAAAGGCAGAGGCAAGUGGAUCUGAGUGAGUUUGAGGCCAGCCUGGUCUACGAAGCAAGUUCCAGGACAGUCAGGACUGUUACACAGAGAAGAAAUCCUAUCUCCAGAAAAAAAAUAAAAUAAAUAAACAAAAAAAGCCAGGCAUGGUGCUUUAAUCCCAGCACUGGGGAGGCAGAGGCAGGUUGAUCUCUUGAGUUCGAGGCCAGCCUGGUCUGCAUAGUGAGUUCUAAGAUGUUAUGAGACCCUAUUUCAGAAGAAAGGGGGAAAUUUUUUUUUAACAGUUUAUUUAGUAGUAAUUUGAGUCUCAUGUCAGUCUGGUGUAAUUUGUAGUUCUAAGUUUCUUAGAGAUCUGAUCCCAGGCUUGGGUUGAAUGGGCCACACCCCCUCCCUGAGCAUCCUGUGGGCUAGCCAGAGGGGAAGAGGUCCCCACUUGCUCCAAGACCUGUUCCCACCCCACCAUGUUAGCUUAUAGAAUCUGUUCAGAAGUUCUCUGUAUAAACGGAAAUGUCUCCAUGUGUCCCUGAGACCAGGAGCUCCCAAAGGGUGUCCGUAACCUCUUUCGGUAUCCUAGGGCCCAGCACAGGGUGCCACUCCAUAGGGACUUUGGGCUUCUCUCUUCCCGUUUUACAGGUGUGCCAGGGCCCCCUGAGGACAAGGUCACUGAGCCCGGAGAGCUUGGGAGUGAGGGGUUCUGGCAGGAGGCAGAGAGGGGCUCAGAGGGGGCCGGUCUUCAUCUUGCUGGGCUUCAGUUUCUUCGAAAGCAGGGAUCUUUAGUACGCCACCCUCUGGUGCUGGGGCAGGGAGUGGUUAAAAGACCCUCUGCCUGUUCCCAGUUAAAGUGUUCUUAAGUGUUCAUGGCUAUUACCAUGGAUGCUGUUAGGUUGUUAUCUUGGCGUUAUUCAUGCUUCCUGGGCCCCGGCAGCUGCUGUGGCUCUGCCUGGCCUUAGCCUCGUCCACAGAAGAGACGUUGCAGCUCCUAAUUAGUGCUCCAAAGAGAGGGCCUGGGUACUUCAUUUUUGCUACAGGGUCCCACCCGUCAAACGCUUCCCCAGCCCGUCUCCCACUGUAUUGGAUUUCGGAGUUCUCUCCCGGCCUCAGGUAGAGGGACUGGCCUCAGGCGAAAGCCUCCCCAAAUUUCCCCUGCCACUCCCUCCGCCUCCCAGACCUCUGGGGCCAUGAAUCAUUUAUGAGGCAAAAAUGAAACCAAUUAAGGACAAACUUUGAAAGCCUCUAAUUGCCGCGCCUGGUGGCAUGGAGGAGUGAGGGGCGGCGGUUGUGCUCGCGGUGGAAUCUCCUUGGCCCCAGCCCUCCUUUCCAGGCGUCUCCGGGCGCCACCACCUCCUGGCCGCUCGCGGACGUGCCUGCGCUGCUCUGGGCAGCCGCCUGGCGCCCGCCCCGUCCUCCCAGGCCGACUAAUUAGGCCCGGCUCCCUCCUGCGCUGCCCGCUCCAGGCCCGAGGUGAUGGCGGCUCAGCCUGCCCUUCUGGGGCAUGUGCCCCAAAGCUGGCCGCCUUUCCCAGGCGGAAUGGCCGCCCGCCUGGCUUAAACCCAGACGAGCCCAGGGGUUGCCCUGUGUCCUGGAGCCUGAGGGUCCACACAGCCAACCAGAGGGGCUGGGCAGAAACGGAUGAAGGGCAAGCUGGGGACAGGGGAGUGGCCGGCUGUUGAGCUUCUGGGGUGUUGCGUGGGUGAGUAGGACCACCCAGUGCCUGUCAGCCUUGCCGCGACUGACAGCAGUGACCUUCUGCAGAAUCUUGGGUUUGGGGAUGCCAGCAGGUGGAGGUCAGAGUCUGGACCCCAGCAGGACCUGCCUCACUGCAGUGAACCAGAAGUACCAGCCUUAAGUCCUGCUCGCUGUGCUGGGGGCCAUGCAGGCCCUGGGCACUCAGGCACACUGUUUGCUGAAACAGAAUUUCCGUGCUUGUGUUUUUCCAUAAUUAUAUUAGCAGGUGGGAUUUUUCCUCGGGGAAGCACUUUGAGGGGGAGCGCUGUGGCUGUGUCCCCGCCUGCUCCAAGCGUGAGCUCACACUCAGCUCUGCCCGCCUGCCUGCCGUAAUGAUUUUUUAAUUAUGCAGCCAGUGCUCGGAAUUGCUAAUCCACCUCUAGCCCAGCGUCCCCUGCUGCAGCUUACACCCCAGCCCCUUGCUGCCAACCCCCGAGGGGCAGUACCCAACUCUAUACCCAUUGCCGCCUGCCGAGGGACACAACCGGUCCAGUGGGGGAGAGUGGGCCAGAGAGCCGCGGGGGUGCCUUUCCUCCGUUUGCAAGAGCCGGGCUUGGGGAUGCAGCUCUCUUUGUCUCCCACCCCAGCCCUAGUCCCAACCUCGCGUGCGCUGGCCAGGGCAGCUGUGUCUCUGGAAGAGGCUAGGGGAGUGAUCAGGGCCCAUCCCCAAGAAUGUGCCCACAUCAACGGCAGGGACGCUAGCCCAUCCUGCCUGUCGUGUGUGACCCCAAGGGACAUAAGCACACAAGCACUACCUUUGUCCCUGUCACACCUACACGCAUACUCUGCUCCACUUCCACGCACACUCAGACACACAGCUAAGCCGCCGCACAAUGGCGAGCUCCAUGCCGCGCACACUGAGCCACACCUGGGGGCUGGGGUACCCUCAGGAGACCCCGUGGCUGGAUUUUCCCCCCCACACCCCCAGUCACCUCCAGACCCAAAGCUCUCUCCCUUCCUUUCCCUAGUGGGUGGCUGCCUGUGGCUGGCCUGUAAGAGCCGCAAUCGACCCUGGCCUGGGGGAGUUGGGGGGCAGGCUGCAGCGCGGUGGCAGCGGGUGGCUGCGGCUCCUCUCCAGGCGCCCAGCUGUGGCAUCUGUCAAGGUCAGAUAGCGACUCCGGAACCAGCCAGCUUGGCCCCAUGGCCCCUCUCGCCUCAUUAUUUUUUGUGUUCCGGGGUUGCGGCGACACCUCCCUCCUUCCCUCCCUCCGCUUCAGUCUCCUGCCUCUUGCCUGCCUCCCCCACGCCUCUGCAGGGAGGGCCUGCCUGCGGUCUGGGGGCUCUUGUUUUCCAGUUUUUUUGCCAAGCUCAAGCCAGAAGGCAGGCAGGCAGGUGGCUAGAUGCUGACCAGAGCUGUUGGACCUUGAACAGCAGACAGGUGCCUCCCUCGUGGCUGGGCUUCUCAGUUAAAACAGUGAAUUGGUUUCUCAGAGGGACAGACUGAACCUGGGUGCAACCCAGCCCCCAUUUCACACCAGGCACACCUGUGGGCAGCUUCUGUUUCCAUAGGGGCCCUAGCAGUUGGCGCCAGUUCCCACCUGCACCAUCCCCAUCCCACUCAGGCUCCGCCAAGGCACAGAGGGCACACACCGCUGUCUCACAGCUAAGACGGGUUAACACACAGACCUGAUGAACCUGCAGACGCCCACCCACCACAGUUAAUGCUCUGCUUGCACACAACUCUCGUGGCUGUGUGUUCUGAGGUGUAGAAAGCACGCCCCUCCGCCUUGCACACCGGGAGCUUACAGUCCAGGCACCUCCACCUGUGUUGGUGUAUAACCAUGUGUACAGUAGUGCUCCAGUCCACAAAGGUUGGCCCUUGGAUUUCAUCUGCACCUGGGCACACCCCACAGCCCACCAGACAACAGGCUCGCAGCAUAAAUGUCUGACAUACUUCCCCUGGUAACACAUAGUCCCUGCUCCUCAGGAUACACAUUCUACGUCGCACGCCCUCCCAGGUACUCUCUGUUCUUAAUUAUCUACCCAAGGGACUUUUGACCCCUGAAAUGUUGGGAAGAGGCCUCUGCUUGGUGUGCCCUGUGUGUCUGGAGUGUGGGAAAAGGUGGUUUGGCAGAUACACGGUCCCAUCCACCUGGCCCAAGAGCACCCUGGUGGAGUCGGGUGGGGGUGGUUCCAGGUGGGUCAUGACAGGCUUCCAGCAGGAGGGUGGGGAAUGUGACUGCUUAGGUGCCACAGCUUCUGGUGUAGGGUAUGUAAAUAUGGGGGUGUGGGGUGUGAUGGGAUGUGGGCCUGUUCCAGAUCCCCUAGAGUUUCUGGGGUAGCCACAGCCAUCCACUCACUUCCUCCUCCAGCUGUGAACUGCUGUGGUUGUCCCUGGGAGGGGGAGAAGCUGGAGGCUUAGUGGUGGCUGGACAACCCCCCCCCCCCCCCAGGAAACUCAAAACCCUGGGCCAGCCGGGUGGCGGGUUGGGGCCCGGCACAAAGAAGGCCUCUGUGCAGCCUGACUGGGCUGCCCACAGGAUUCUGGGGGAGGCAGCAAGAGCCGGUUUCCGUCCCGCUCUGCUUCCUGCGGAGGCCGCCGGAAUGCCGGAGCUCUUGCCCAGCCAGGCCCGGCCGGCCUACCCGUAGCCCCUUCCUACCUGGUCUUUGCCUGGGCUUGGGGUAUAGUUGGAGACUCUCUGGCAGUAGUCUGCUGGAUGUGCCUAGAGCCUGAAAACCACCAGAAAGACUCUUGGGGAAACUGAGCUUUCUCUUCCAAGUCUCCAUGUGCCUUGGAGCCCUCAGCCAAUGUUGGAAAGCCAAGCCCUGGAGUCACCACCAGGUUCAAACCCUGACUCUGCCACCUCCUGACCUUGUGACCCUAGGCUGAUGAUUUCACAUCGUUUAGCUAAAAGCGUGUCGUGAGACUCCAGUAAUAAACUACAAAGGCUGGGUGUGGUGGCUCAUGCCUUUUAUCCCAGUACUUGGGAAGCAGAGGCGGGCAGAUCUCUUUAGCUAGAGGAGAGACCCUGUCUCAGAACAGCAACAGCAAAAACAAAGUACAAGAAAAAUGCUUAGCCCAGUGCCUGACUUGCUGUCAUGUCCCAGAGCUAGAGGGCACCAUGUGUCUCCUUGCCCCCCGUAAGCCAGAUUUGCUUGUGGCUUGCUCAGAACCUUUCCUACCUGCAAGUCCUGUGACUAGCUCUGGCUCCUGUCCAGCCACUAGGUCACUACCCUCCGUGGGGAGCUGGGUGGGGAGUCUUCCGAACUGUCUUCUUCUCCUUCACGCCCAGGAGAAUGGGUCCUGCAGUCUAGAGUGAUGAUCAAGAACCUUCUUCUCCAGGGCUGGAGAGAUGGAUGGCUCAGUGGUUAAGACUGCUAGCUGCUCUUACAGAGGACUGGGGUUUGGAUCCCAGCACCUCCUUGGCAGCUCAGAACAUGUUGUGACUCCUCUUCCAGGGGUUCUGCUGACACCAUCUUCUGGUCUCCUUGGUCACCAGAGAUGUACUUAGUGCAUACAUUUAUAUGUAGCUACUCAUAACAUGCAUACAAAAUAUAAUAAUCUGGGGGGGGGCUUUAAACAAUAUCCCCCCCCCCCCCCGACAGGGUUUCUCUGUGUAGCUUUGGUGCUUUUUCCUGGAACUCACUCUGUAGCCCAGACUGGCCUCGAACUCACAGAGAUCUGCCUGCUUCGGCCUCCCGAGUGCUGGGAUUAAAGGCGUGCGCCACCACCGCCCGGCUAUAUUUCCUAUUUUUACUGAUGCUCGAUGUAGGGGAAGGGCUAUUUCAAAGGUCAUGGUGAGGGAAGACCAAGUCAGAGCCACAACUCAGACUUUUAAGACUCCAGUGCAUACCUUUACCUCUGUUGACACAGUUUGCCCCACUCUAGCUCCUUGACUCUGGUGUCUCUGAGCUAGCUUUCCCAUCCUAUCCUGUGACGAGACCCAUCAGGAUAGAGGGGCUAGGCAGGGAUGUGGGCUACAGUCUCCGGUGGGUGUCUGCUUAAGACAGCAGGCAGCACUCUGGGAAGCAUUUAGUUCAAGACCCAGGGACACCCCAGGGGACAGUAUCAUUUGUCCAUCCUAGCCAGCUGACCAUUUUGCCUGCUCUGAGUAGGGCAAUACAGGACAUCCUCAGAGGGUGUCUAUGAGGAGUAUAUGGGCUAUGCCCCUGUUAGCUGUAUCCACAGGGUCCCAUAUGACAGAAAAGGGCUCAAAGGUCAUGUGCUGAGGUCACAAAAUUAGGAGGGCAUUCCUGGGGCUUUGCUGCCUUUGGGAAAGAACCUAGCUCAGGGGAGGUGUCGGAGAGAGGGAGUCUUUGACAGAGCGGCAGGCCCUGCAUCUCACUGCCUGGAACCCAGGUGAAAGCACGCCUCUGGCCAGGGCCUCAAGUGUGCCAGUCUAAGAAGAUACUCAGGGACAGUUUAGGAAAUUCUGUGGGGAAGAACAGAGGCCCGUGUUGCUUUUUGGUUCAAAGAUUUGUGUAUCUGAAGCAGAAGGUUCAAGUUAGAGAGUGUGGACUCACAAGUAUGACUGCCACAGUCCCAGGGUGGUUUUGUUGUUUGGGGGGGGGACGACAGGGUCUCUCCUUGUAGCCUUGGCUGUCCUGCAGCUCCAUAUAGACCAGGCUGGCCCCAAAUUCCUAGAGAUCCACCUGCCUCUGUCACUCAAGUGCUGGGAUUAAAGGCCUGCACCACCACACCCCCCCGUCCUUUUUUUUGGGGGGGGACUGUCUUGGAGAUCCCCCAGUGGUGUCAAGGGCAUGUCUCACCCCCAGCCAUUGCUAGGUGCUUGGGUGGUUGCAAUGAUUGUACAGGGUCUGUCCCUCCAUAUUGGGGGUGCGCCCUGACCUCAGGCUGUCGCUGCACUUUGUGUGUCUCUUGGGCCCAAGAGGGCUCCCAACCUCUGGAAACUUCCCAGACUGAAUUAUGGGACUCAGAGACAGAACCCCCUCCUUGGUAUCAGUAGGUCAGCUUCGUUCAGUCAUUGGAAUUUGUGGUCUGGGCUCCCUGCCAACAUCGUCUGUCUGUCCAUCUGACCUCCUUAUACUGCUCAUCAGCAUUGCUCCCCUCUGUACCCCAGGUAGGUAGAAGGGGUCCUAAGCCAUUGUGUGGACUCUGUAGAGCUAGCCCAACUGAGCCAUGCUGAAUUCUGCUUGGCCAGAGCCCUGGGGUUAGUGAAGGAGGCCUUCUUCCUUACACAGGCAGGAUAGGUCUAGAAGGUCCUGGAACUCACUUUGUAGACCAGGCUGGCCUCGAACUCACAGAGAUCCUCCUGUCUCUGCUUCCCGAGUGCUGGGAUAUUAAAGGCAUGCGCCGCCACCGCUUGGCUAGAAGGCUCUUAGAGCCAGUAUAGUAGAAGAGGCAUAACACCCUGGGAAACCUGCCCCCAGGCAGGAUGGUGCUUACAUGGUUCUAAAAAUGCACUUUAAGCCGGGCGGUGGUGGCGCACGCCUUUAAUCCCAGCACUCGGGAGGCAGAGCCAGGCGGAUCUCUGUGAGUUCGAGGCCAGCCUGGACUACCAAGUGAGUUCCAGGAAAGGCGCAAAGCUACACAGAGAAAACCCUGUCUCGAAAAACCAAAAAAAAAAAAAGAAAAAAAAAUGCACUUUAAAAAAAAUCAUCGAACCAGUGACAGGAAUGAUGGCUAGCACCUGUCACCCCAGCAACCAGGAGGCUGGGGUUCUGGGAGCCCCUCCUUGGGGGGCGAGGCACGGAAACAAAACAUUGAAUUAUACUGUAAAAGUCCUGCCCUUGACCUCAAGGCUCUGUCCAGCUGGGACCCUGAAAAAGGUCAUAGCCAUACCUGGCAGCUGCUUUCAGCCAGUUCUUCCUAAGGCUUUGAGCUGUGUGUCCUCUGGUAACUGUCUCUGUGCUUAGCUCUUUAGGCGGCAGUCUGUUCCUCCCCACAGCCCUUUAGGUUACCCAGUCUCCUUCCAGGUCACUGUUCAUACUGAAUUCUUUAGCCACCACCUUGGCUCUCGUGGUGUAGGAAGGGUCAGUGUCUGGGUCCUCCUUGCCCCUCCCUCCACGGUAGCACAGGGCACUGGGCCGCGCUAUUGGGAUAAGUAGGAAAGGCGGGGGGGGGAGUGCCAGCAAGCAUUGAGAAUAUCUAGCCGCAGCCCUCCUAGGAACACAGAGCAUCAACCCCUCCCAAGAUGUAAACUCCUCCCCCAUGCAGUCAGGCUCUUCUGGGGCGGAGGGAGGGUGGGGUGAGGCCACCACCUCCGGUGACCUCAUUGGCAGCUGGCAUUAUGAUGUCACUGGCCUAGCAUUCUGAGUUCCUGCAUGUGUAUCUCUUGAGCCUCCAGGUGGGGCACUCCCCCUGGGGGCCUGUGACAGCUCACCCCUGACCACAGAGAGGUGAUAGGCACGGUAACAAUUUGGUGGGAGGGCAGUAGGAUAACUGGGCCACUUUGCCUUGGGCUGUCCUGUUAAUUGCCCAGGUAGAGCAAAGGCGGUCUUGGCCACAGAGCUCUGGGUUCAAGUUCCACCACUGCUAGGCACUAGCUGUUGACAUAAGGCUUACAGCUUGAACUUUGGUGAACCUUGUUCUCUUCAUCUCUGAAACGGGUUAAAAGUUCCUGUCUCUUGGUUACUAUCUUAUUAACAUAUGAAGCAUACAAACACCACAGCGCAGUAGGUGCUUAGUUAAUGUGAGCAGCAAGCAAGAGGUUCUUAGACGUUAGUCGGGGUGCUGGUUGGAAGAGAACAAGGUCCGUGCCUUCAGAGGGUAGAAGUGGGGAGUAGCCCCCACUGCUAGCAAGUGGUCACAUCUCUGGCUUUUCCCCUCUUUCCAACAGCCACGGUCUCAACCUCCGUGGGCUAUGAUGGCCAGGAUCUGGGUCCUCAGUCCUUGGGGCAAGAACUCUAUCCCCAACCCUCCUCCCAUCUGUUCUCCCUGACCUUAGGUUAGACCUAGUCUCAUCAGGUGGCCCUGGUUCUCACUCUUCAGCUCCUCCCUCUGUGGAUGUGUCCAGCUUGGCUCCUUCGUUCCGUCUCUGACCAGGACCACUUCAUCCCGCCAGGUCUUGUCUCUGACCCAUUCCUGAGUUCUGCUGUCAACAUUCUCUGCCCUUAACCACCUGUCUCCCCCUCAGCCCCCAGCUCUUGGGGACUAGUUCAUUCACCCCCUAGGCUCUGUCCCCACCCGUCAGCCCCUGGUCCCAGCUCCAGGCCGCCGGGCUCCUGCCUGGACAAAGGGGUCCUUUGUGGGCUGACCGCGGCUGGCAGGGCGGCGGGGCGCUGGCUCCGCAUUGCUGAUGAAACGGAGCCCUUUGUUGUCCCUCCUCAGACGCAGUAUUUCUUUUUGGGGGCUGGAUGCGUUCCUGGCAGGGCGGAUGAUGGAUGCGCCCGCCGCUGCCGCCUGCCUGCCCGCCAGCUUUCCCUCCCGCUCAUUCCCGCUCCGCUUCAACGCAGCCCCAGCUCUUCCCCUGCUGCUGGGUAUUGCCAGGCCCAUCCUGGCCUGGGAGGGGUUGCUGUGUGCCCUGCUGUAAAAGAGUAAAGACGUUUCCACGUGGACACCUGACCAUGCGCCUGCCCUGACUUGAGGCCCACCAGGCAUCUCUAUUGUGGGCAGCAGGGGCUCCACGCUCAUCUGUGAGGCCCCAGCAGUUUGCAGGCUCUCCCAGCAGUGGGGUCUGGGCCUCGGCCC
Molecule: RNA transcript, 12444 nt
Organism: Peromyscus californicus insignis
Lineage: Eukaryota; Metazoa; Chordata; Mammalia; Rodentia; Cricetidae
Gene: Cxxc5
Gene name: CXXC finger protein 5
Exons: 2
Source: RefSeq, a predicted model, not a curated record